AUGUAUGUGGAAGAAGAGCUACACUGGCAUCAAUUCUCUAAUGAGAGGUGGCUUCUGAAAGGAGACAAUAACACUGGUUUCUUCCAUAAAGUAGCCAAUGGCCGUCGUAGGAAAAACUCCAUGAUCUCCCUGGAGUGUGGGUCCACUAUUAUUGAGGGCACUAAAAACCUUCUGGUCCAUGCUACUGAAUACUAUAAAUCCUUAUUUGGUCCAGCUCCUGGCAACUUAUGUCAGAUAGAUGCUGCUCUAUGGUCUCAGGAUGAGAUGAUUACUCCUGGUGACAAUGAGGAAUUAACUCGACCUUUUUCGUUAGAAGAAAUCAAGAAAGCUUUGUUUAGCAUGAAUUCUAACCGUGCCCCUGGUCCAGAUGAUAUUCCUAUAGAAUUCUAUCAACACUGC
This 399-nucleotide ribosomal RNA is filed under the name Triticum aestivum (bread wheat). Its description in RNAcentral is "partial small subunit ribosomal RNA". Lineage: Eukaryota; Viridiplantae; Streptophyta; Magnoliopsida; Poales; Poaceae. The record is from RNAcentral.